AUACGGAGGAUGCGAGCGUUAUCCGGAUUUAUUGGGUUUAAAGGGAGCGUAGGUGGGAUAUUAAGUCAGCUGUGAAAGUUUGGGGCUCAACCUUAAAAUUGCAGUUGAUACUGGUUUCCUUGAGUACGGUACAGGUGGGCGGAAUUCGUGGUGUAGCGGUGAAAUGCUUAGAUAUCACGAAGAACUACGAUCGCGAAGGCAGCUCACCGGGCCGGAACUGACACUGAUGCUCGAAAGUGCGGGUAUCAAACAGGAUUAGAUACCCUGGUAGUCCGCACAGUAAACGAUGAAUACUCGCUGUUUGCGAUACACGGUAAGCGGCCAAGCGAAAGCGUUAAGUAUUCCACCUGGGGAGUACGCCGGCAACGGUGAAACUCAAAUGAAUUGACGGGG
RNAcentral lists this ribosomal RNA (393 nucleotides) under uncultured bacterium. RNAcentral describes it as "partial 16S ribosomal RNA". It matches the Rfam family "Bacterial small subunit ribosomal RNA", at positions 523 to 918 of the family's 1533-position model. The record is from RNAcentral.